This is a long non-coding RNA of Cyprinus carpio carpio, 2245 nucleotides long. The record is from Ensembl. Lineage: Eukaryota; Metazoa; Chordata; Actinopteri; Cypriniformes; Cyprinidae.
CUCAGAUGAUGCCAACCCUGAAACAACAUAAACUACCAAAAUUUGCUACAAGUUUGAUUGCAACAUAUAAUCAUAGCUGUUAAUAGUAUUUAUCGUCUGUUUGAUUACGUCAUUAACUGAAUUGUACGGUACAAUUCUGCCAUAUGUACAUCAAUUAGACAUAGUUGUCACACCCAGGGGCUGGCUAUGCUUUGACUAAGCCACACCCCUUCUCAACUUCCACCUCGAGGAGGUCCCCAAAGCCAACCCAAUGGCCAAACAACACGAGAACAAGUAAGUGAUAAAACAAUCUUUAUUUAAAUAUUUAAAAAUAGCUUGGGGAAUAGGGAAAGGGCAAUUAAAACUAAACCCUGACUCGGCCCUCCAGAUGGGCUAUGGCCGGGAAGAGGUCAGGGAGCAAGGGGGCCACGGGGAUCCGGGGCGUGGGACUCAGGCCCCGGCCUGAGUCUUAGGUAUCCGUAGCGCCCUCCUUCUUCCUCCUCUUCGCUGAUUGCAGCUCACAGUAAGUACUGGUUCACACAGUUCGUUCUCUGGGUGCUCACUCUCUUUCUCUUUCUCCACAGGCAUCAACUUGGGCACACUAGCACAGUUAGUUUGCUUUGAAUGGCUCUCACCUCUGGGCUGGACACAGCGUACUGUAAGUACAGGGUUCGCUCUAUUCCUCCUCGUGUUAUUCACUCUCUCUCCUUUUCUCUCCACAGGUAUCAACUUGGGCACAAUAGCACAGUUACUCUGCUUUGGAUGGCUUUCACCUCUGGGCUGGACACAGCGUACUGUAAGUACAGGGUUCGCUCUAUUCCUUCUCGUGUUAUUCACUCUCUCUCCUUUUCUCUCCACAGGCAUCAACUUGGGCACAAUAGCACAGUUACUCUGCUUUGGAUGGCUUUCACCUCUGGGCUGGACACAGCGUACUGGUUCACACAGUUCGUUCUCUGGGUGCUCACUCUCUUUCUCUUUCUCCACAGGUAUCAACUUGGGCACAAUAGCACAGUUAGUUUGCUUUGAAUGGCUCUCACCUCUGGGCUGAACACAGCGUACUGUAAGUACAGGUUUCCUCUGUUUCUCCUUGUGUUACUCACUCUCUCUUUCCUUUCCUCUCCACAGGUAUCAACUUGGACGCAAAGCACAGUUACUCUGCUUUGGAUGGCUUUCACCUCUGGGCUGGACACAGCGUACUGUGCUAUCUCCGGAGAUCUGAAGCACGCGCACAACAUAUACUGUACUGAACUAGGCUAGGACCAGCAGUCUCCUUGUCCUCCCGCGACGAAGUGCGUGAAGGCGGGGGUUUAUCUGACAGGACACACGGCAAUACACAGCAGCCCACAGCAAUAUACAGCACCACGUCAAAAAUUAUAGGUUUUCACAGCAUGAAGACUCACCCACCACACUCAGUGUACGAAAAGGACACCCGUCUUCCUUCACUUCGCUUGGUUCGGAUCUGGCGAUGGAAUAUGCGGCCUAGCUAGUGAUGUCGUCGUUGUGACUACUUCAAUAAGUAUUCCUUCGGCUCUCCCACCACGCUAUAUUAGGGGUAGGGCCGCCCUCCUCCUCCUGGAGAGAUCUACACAACGCCAGGUCAAUAUACAGGGCACUUUCGACUGGCUCUUAGUACUCACAUCAAUGCCGCUUCCAAUCCCCUUUUUCACGUCGUCUCAGUUCGCCGUAAAAUCCGUUCACUUCUCAACCUUUAAGGUUCGCGAUGUCUUCACAAUCAUACAAUUCCAGCCUGAGGGAGAGAGAGAGUUAGACAGCCGCCAGCAGCGCACCAAGACGGGCACAACACAGUGCUUCACACACACCAGAAAGAGCGCCCAGACUGUGAAAUAACUUGGCCUUAAGUACUGCCUUGUCCAGCGUAUCCUCCAAUCACCAACCGCUGUCCCUAACUAGGCACAGGUGCAUCGAAUUCCCUGAUUUUCCUUCUUACGGCGCUACCGGAAAUUCCGGUGUUCUGUUUUUCCGGUCCGGGCGGAAACACUUCCGGGCGGAACCAAACUUCCCGAAUUUUGGUUCCGCCCCUAAAGAUCGUCACCUUGUGACAUCGUCACCAUUGACAAGCUACUACUAAAUAUGUUGUAGAAACUUAGUUUUCUAUAAAGCUGCUUUGCAAUCAUUUGUUUAUCAUUUGUAUCAUGAAAAGCGCUAUACAAAUAAACUUGAAUUGAAUUGAAUGAUCAUGCUAUAGUGUCAAAACAGUGUAGUCACUCCUUUGAAAAUUGCAUAUUUUUGUAAAUUAUGUGUAUUU